Molecule: ribosomal RNA, 469 nt
Filed under: uncultured bacterium
Lineage: Bacteria
Description: bacterial SSU rRNA
Rfam family: Bacterial small subunit ribosomal RNA
Source: RNAcentral
UGUCACUCCUACGGGAGGCAGCAGUGGGGAAUAUUGCACAAUGGGCGCAAGCCUGAUGCAGCCAUGCCGCGUGUGUGAAGAAGGCCUUCGGGUUGUAAAGCACUUUCAGUCGUGAGGAAGGUAGUGUAGUUAAUAGCUGCAUUAUUUGACGUUAGCGACAGAAGAAGCACCGGCUAACUCCGUGCCAGCAGCCGCGGUAAUACGGAGGGUGCGAGCGUUAAUCGGAAUUACUGGGCGUAAAGCGCAUGCAGGUGGUUUGUUAAGUCAGAUGUGAAAGCCCGGGGCUCAACCUCGGAAUAGCAUUUGAAACUGGCAGACUAGAGUACUGUAGAGGGGGUAGAAUUUCAGGUGUAGCGGUGAAAUGCGUAGAGAUCUGAAGGAAUACCGGUGGCGAAGGCGGCCCCCUGGACAGAUACUGACACUCAGAUGCGAAAGCGUGGGGAGCAAACAGGAUUAGAUACCCUGGUAG